UUUUAGUGUUACUCAUCUCUCAGCUGGCUGCUGCCUCCACAGCCGAAUCAAUUACUCUGAUUUUUUGAGGGUAUCUUGUUAUUUUGAACGUUUUUCUUCAAUGUAAUUCAUGAUCCUUUUGGAAAGUCUGUCCAGGGGAUACGUCGCCUCCUCUUUCAACAAGGCAGACCUAUAUGUGUGUUCACAGAAAUAGCCUGCACACAUACACACACACAGCAGCGGCAGCACACAUUUAGCCUGGUUAAUCAAGCUAAUUAGACAAGUAGGUUAUCCACGGUUUGCGGCACCAAAACCAAAGAGUCCUCUGUGUUUAUCACCACAUUGGAGAAUUUGAGCCUCCAGAGCAUGUUGACGCAUCGCUUUUAGCUCCUCUGCUCGUUGUUUACCUACUCCUCCCUUCUCUCCCCCCCUCCGCUCUGUCUCCCACCAUCAGCAGCAUCUCCUACUGAUGCUCAGUGGAGUCAGAUGAAGGACACAACCUCACAUGACUAGCAGAGGUCCUCUCAUAUGUGUUUCAUUUAGAGUCUUGGAGGAACAGGUUGCAUUCCUGCAGAUAAGGAGGCACAGGUGAUGCAUGUUGGCAUGACUUGAACCCAAUCUGUCCAAGCUGCUGGCUGUAAUUCCUGAUCAUUGUAGUAGUUGUAGGUGAACUUACUCCCUCUGUUCCUCUUCUGAUUGAGGUUAAUUGCUUUAAUCAUUACCUUUUAAAACAAUGUCAGGCUAAUGCUAACACUUGGCUUUAACUUAAUACAAUAGCUUCUAUCCCCAGAGAGAUGAAUGGUUGCCGACUGCUUGCUUCUCUAGCUAUACUAACUUUAGCAACGACCGCAGGAUAGCUAAACACAAUGGUCUCAACAAACCUCAACCACAACGCCACCCGCACAGAGCAGCACCUAACUUCAUCAACAGUACAUAUAGGGUCCCAGCCACAGCACUAGCCACCAAACAUCUUUUUAGCUGUGCUUAAUUUCUUUAGCGAAGAGACUAAACACAACUCACCUACUCGCUUUCAGCAGCUGCUUGUUUGUAGCGAGACCUCGGGCCAGUCCAUUGCGGACUGCAGUGGGGUGACGCAGCUCAAGGAACAACAUUUAUGAUAAUUUCUUCAUGGAAAUGCAAUCAGACUGAGACGCCAAGGCAGAAGAACUUUUGCGUCUGCGGUGCAGAAUGAUUAAUAUGGUGAUUAUUACUUCAAGGAAAUGAUGAAGAAAUAAUCAUAAAUGUUCUUCCUUGAGCUGCGUCACCCCACAGCUGUCCAUAAUGGACUGGCCCGAGGUCUCCGUACAAACAAGUGGCUGCUGGAAGAGAGUUGGAAGAGUUGCAAGUGGUUGGCAACAUUCAUCUCUCGAGGGUGUGUCUAACUCGGUGUUACGGUGUGUUUGACCCCAAAUUAAUUUUAUGCCGGAAUAUCCCUUUAAGGCACUGUAGGUGCGAAGUAUAAAGCCAUGGUGCACUAUGAUAUGAUGGAUUACCACACAGUGUUGUAUGAUGCUUUAUGAUAGGGUAUGAAAUGAUAUUCUUUUUGACUGGAUACAAUAGGAUAUGAUACCAUUUAGUGGGAUACAAUAUAGGGAUGCAAGAUAUUGUCAACAUGAUAUGAGUAUUGGCAGGAAUGAGUAUGUUUGUGGAUUUGAUUCCAGGAGAUGCAUUAGUGCAAGUGAUAACAACUUAAACAUGCUAAGUUGGCUGUUCAAUUUCAUUCGUGGUUAACCCAGUCAUUUUAUUUCAGUAGAGUUCUGUACUGCAGAUGUCCUCAUCUGACUCUCUGGCUUCCAACAGAAAAAAAGAGAAACUACUGCCAUCAGGAUAAGAUACGGGUUCAGGGGCUUCUCCUUUUUCAUGUCUUUGCUAAACAAAAGGAUGAGGCAUCCACGGUAUCAGUAAUCAAAGUCCCCUGAGUUUAGCCAACAGCUUCUUAUUCUGUUAGCGUUCUCUGUGGUGCAGAGGCUGCAGAGCAAGCGGCGAAUUUCUCAUCUCAGUAGGAGGAAGCUGAUCAGGCAGGGUAUCACUCAGAGGUGAGGACAUCAGGAGGGCAGCAAAUGUAAAGCUGGAGGAGAAGUGAGAGCAGCAGACAUGAUCAGGUUGGUUUCAUAAACAGCGUCUUCGCCUGAAGUCUGUCUGUAGAUUUCAUGGACUUUGUUUUGUAAGAUGAAGAUGGCUAAAAUAAUUGGCUCUGGGGCUGAAUAGCAAAAUGGGCCGGCUUCAUUAAAGGGUAAUUCUGGUAUCUCUUAGACUUAGUUAACUCUGUUCUCCCUGGUUUAUUGUGCAUCUCAAACCUGUGUAACUUUAACUAUGUCGGAGCACCAACAAUUACAAUGUUGAUUAAACUUUCAUGGAGAGUUUAUAUAGUUUAAUUGUUAUAUCUAAGGUGCAGCUAUUCCCCAGGGCUUCCUUAUGUGACCCCCUAAUCCAUGGAUCUUAAUGGAUCUUUUAAUGUAUUUUAAUUUAAUCUUUUUAAGAGAUUUGGAUCACAGGGACCCUCUACGUUGCAGCAAGAAGGAAGGUGGAUGAUCAGUGGGUUUAUUUGUCAACUUUAACUCCCAUUGUUUUCCGCGAAAGUUGAAUUUCUUGUCAGAAGCACCGACUAAACUAAACCUCGAGCUGCAGGCAACCAGUGCUGUUAUCCCGGAUUUGAAGUUUAGUUCAUUCAAAGAAAGUACUGAUGAAAUGGUCCUGCACAUAGUCUCAGGGGCUCUUCGCCUCAAGCAGGAGUUUGUAGGCCCUCAAGUAUCCUUAAAGUAGGAUCUGAACACGCACUGUGCACACUGAGAUACAAAUAAACAAUACCUCAGCUAAAAAAGCUCUUCUAAAGACCUUUAAGUCAAGUCUUUUCCCUUAUUGUAUAAAGAUUGUUGCCCUAAAAGGAAAUGCAGCAGGACUAAGUGAGUAAAUGUAGCUCCCAAUCCUCACUCUCAUUAGUUCAUAGAUAGAGUCUAGAUGUCUGUGUAGGUUCUCAUUCAUCCAGAUCAGUUGAAGAAGCCUUUAGGAAGAGAGACAAAACGUCUUCAGGAACCUCAAACAAGUCCAGUUGCCCCUUCGAUGAAGAAUUGGAAAGAUUGUAGACCAAGAGUUGAUGUCAUCAGACUGGGCUCGUGACAGGUUUGAGGGCUUGAGCUCCUACGUUUGCGUCUGCAGUCCCCGACACGUCUGUGCCGAGCGUCACGCCAGAACUUCAGAGGUCAGAACGUCACUACAACAGUGUGGUUCUUUGUGUCGGGCUCCUAGUGCAGAGGGAUUUAAUGUGUCUCCUCUCUCUGUCUGCUGUAUCUUUUUCUGUGCCUGCAGUCGGAGGCUGAGUCAUGACGUACUCCCUGACUGAAAUGAACUUAUUGUUACAUAUGUGUAAAUGUUGAAGCAGGGAUGAAUACAGGCUGUGGCAGAGCCUGAGGGGUUGUGGGCUGACAUGUGCAGUGGUGUAUGAAGUACCCAAAAGCCAAACUCGAGUAAAAGUUCAGAUAUUGCCCCAGAAAAGGUCUUGGUAGAGUGAAGGAUGUAUAUUCAUAUUACUUGAGCAAAGUCUCAAAGUAUCUGAUCAUAUGGGUACUUAAGGAUGUCAAGUAAAAGUACAUGAUGUUGAUUUUAGAAAUGUGUUCAGAAUAUUUUAGAUAACGAACAUUUAUUUCCAACUGCAAAGCACCAGUGUUAGUUAUUUGGAGGCCUAGGGCAAAGAACACUGUGAUUGAGAGAGUAAAUAUUAUUUUAAGGCAUCUUUUUUCAGUCAACAAAACCACAGAACAAAGGACUCAGCUGAAUGUGAAUUAUAAAAGAUCACAGACACACUGGAGCCACCAGUACCUCCUCAUGAUCUCACUACCGAUGUUCACAUGUACAAAACUUCUUCAUUGGAUGAAAAAUUUGAGGGAUUGGAAAAUCUGAAUCCACUGUAUAUAUGGGUGCAAAAUCAAAUCAUCUCUAAAUCCUCUUUCAGAUCCAAACUUUAGGUAUUUUUACAGACUGUAUAUAAAAUGGAAGCAGCCUGUCUCCUCGCUGGGUGAAGCCACUCCAAGAACAGCACCCUCUAGUGACAGGCUGCAGUAUAGGUCAUAAAUCCCGCCUCCUCCACUAAUCCCUACGAAGCUGUGGACAAACUUUAGAAAGUAAUUACACAGAAUAUACAUUUUUCUCCCCCCUGCUUGCGAUGUUGACAUGUAGUUAUUGUAAGACUGGUUUGUGCUCAAGUCCUCUUUUUUCUGCACAGCUCCAUUUUUAAAAGUUAUUAGGGGGUUCAUGUCUUCUAUGAUUGACACUUUAUACAGCCUAUGGGCGUAUGAAGAUUGCGUAGCUCACCGGGGGAAUACGCAGUUUGAGCCGAGCGUCAUCACAGUGACUCUUGGCGACUCUCCCGCCAAAUGCGCACAAUGCUACUGCACAAGUGGUGGAUUGCGUACAACGCUACUGCCCAACCUUGGUUUCAGGAAGUGGAGAAAAAACGCAGAAUUACCGAGAGCUUUUCGGCUUCAAAUCCAUAUACUGGCAGAAGGCAGAACCAAGUUGUCCAUAGUAUAUACAGUCUAUGGUAUUUGUCAAUAGAAAUGAUACCUAAAAAUACCCCCCUGUUGUUUAUCAUUGGGGGUUGGCACAGGGCCCUAAGCAGGCGCCUUGGUCGCUUGUGCCUUGUGCUGGCUCUGUAGGUAAUGAGUCGUAAAGCGUGUGAAAGAGAAAGGUCAAGAAACGCUGAGGAAGAAGAGAAAUUUUUCUUUGUCUACCACUUCUUAACUCCUCUUCUUUGUCAAGGUUUUUGUGCCGCGAUGUUUAAUUGCCACCACCCUCAGUUUUAAAAGCCAACCACCUACAAAUAAUCCAAAAUUAACAGACUAAAUUUCUGCCAGUUCUUGUAGUAAGAUUCGUUGGAGGCAAACAUUCAUGAGAAGUAGCAGAGAUUAGUGGGGAAACGUAGUAAAGUCAAAGUAGAAAUUGUCAGAAAUGUAAAAAAUCAAGUAAAGUACAAAUACUUACAAAAAAUACUGAAGUACACUAAGGAAAUACAAUUACUUAAUUCCUUUACACCAUUAGACAUGUGAGAGUAGAAAUCCAGAUCAUAUGAUCACUUCUGAAUCUGAACACCUGCAGGCUCUCCAGCUUUCCAGUAACACUACUGCUUUUAUUUUUACAUUUACAUUUUUACAUAAUCUUCUUUGAAACUCAGGCAUGUUUAGGGGCCAGGUUUGUACUGCUGGUCAUUUUUGCAGAGAAAGGAAGGAGAAAUGAUGUGUGAAGGCAAUACUCAGGCAAGAGAACUUAUCAAGCAGAGCCCAUGGAGACCUCCACCCGAUGAGGCUUUUUUCCAUCACCUGGGGUUGUUUGUUUGUUUCCAGGAUCAUCACAGAUACUAUCACACACAAUCUGCCAUUAGCCCGCCAUGUCCACCUGCUGCCACUCUCCUUUGUGUGUGUUCGCUGGAAAUAGGCACAGUCAGUUAAAGCUGCAGAAAAGCAUUUUUGUUUCCAUCUGGAUUCCAGGUGAGGCAUGGCUGUCUUCUGCUCCAUGUUUUCCAUUUUUAAUCUUUCUCCUUUUUUAUCCCAAUCUCUCCAAUUCUUUUUAGCUUUUCACUUGAUUCACUUUACAACUGAAUAAAUCGAGCAAAAAUCUUUAAUUCUGAAAGCCGCCACCAACCCUGAGCGUUCCUGGUGCUGGCGAAGCACAGGGUCAGCAGGGUUUCUUGUAACAGGUUUCUUCCAGAUGUGUCUGUCUGAGCACAGAGCAUGAGGUGGUGGGCAGGGAAUCAGCUAGACGCAGCAGAGAGAGCAGAAUCCAUGCGGGAUACUUCUUAUACUUUCUUAUAUUCUUCAGUACCUCACUGAACUGAAGAUGUAUUUGUUUUUCUGGAAGUACAUUUGGAAAAAGUUGGGAUCGACUUGUGUCUUGGAAUUAAUAAUGAAACCCAAUGGAUUAAUGCUGUUGUGUAUGACAUAAUGUUGUUUUUGCAAUAUUAGCUUUAGAAUAUAAUAGUAUAGUGUAGCAAAGGGAUACUCUGGCGUAAAAUUAAGUUAGGGUCAAA
RNAcentral lists this long non-coding RNA (5998 nucleotides) under Xyrichtys novacula (pearly razorfish). The record is from RNAcentral. Lineage: Eukaryota; Metazoa; Chordata; Actinopteri; Labriformes; Labridae.